RNAcentral lists this ribosomal RNA (460 nucleotides) under uncultured bacterium. RNAcentral's name for it is "partial 16S ribosomal RNA". It matches the Rfam family "Bacterial small subunit ribosomal RNA", at positions 338 to 795 of the family's 1533-position model. The record is from RNAcentral.
CCUACGGGAGACAGCAGUGAGGAAUAUUGGUCAAUGGACGAGAGUCUGAACCAGCCAAGUAGCGUGAAGGAUGACUGCCCUAUGGGUUGUAAACUUCUUUUAUAUGGGAAUAAAAUGUUCCACGUGUGGGAUUUUGUAUGUACCAUAUGAAUAAGGAUCGGCUAACUCCGUGCCAGCAGCCGCGGUAAUACGGAGGAUCCGAGCGUUAUCCGGAUUUAUUGGGUUUAAAGGGAGCGUAGGUGGAUUGUUAAGUCAGUUGUGAAAGUUUGCGGCUCAACCGUAAGAUUGCAGUUGAAACUGGCAGUCUUGAGUACAGUAGAGGUGGGCGGAAUUCGUGGUGUAGCGGUGAAAUGCUUAGAUAUCACGAAGAACUCCGAUUGCGAAGGCAGUUCACUGGACUGCAACUGACACUGAGGCUCGAAAGUGUGGGUAUCAAACAGGAUUAGAUACCCCUGUAGUC